RNAcentral lists this long non-coding RNA (409 nucleotides) under Mus spicilegus (steppe mouse). RNAcentral's name for it is "lncRNA (ENSMSIG00000025387.1)". Lineage: Eukaryota; Metazoa; Chordata; Mammalia; Rodentia; Muridae. The record is from RNAcentral.
AUGGUCAAUCUAAACCUAAUAUCCUUUUUCAUGCUAUUUUCUGCUAUCCUAAAUCUUUCCUCUGAAAGGCAAUAAUAGGUAGGCCAUCAGCAGAGCUUGAGGAAACGAUUGUGCUUAGAGCAACUCUGAUUAGUGACCGAUGGCCCUGCACCUCAUCCCGAAGAAGAUGGCGAGUCCGAAUGACCGUGUCCACGGGCCAGCCUCUCAAUAAAGACAACACUCUGGGAAGAUCAGCCCGAAGCCUCGGUGCUUAAGCUUCAGUGAGAAAGAAGAACGUCUGGACUGUUACAGAGACAGCAGAAUGUGCCUCCUGAGAGUCUCGCCUGGAAGUGUACAAAGUACCGGCAGAAACUCAGUCAUGGGACUUACUGUAUAAAAGCAAGAACUUUGGAAUAAAGUAAAAAACUUU